CCUGAAAAGAUCACAAAUGAAGAACUAUGGAAGAGAACAGGGCAGGAACCUAUAGACAUACAAAUCAGACGUAGGAAGUGGGGAUGGAUUGGACACACCCUAAGGAAGCCACCUUAAACCACCACACGCCAGGCCCUGACCUGGAACCCGCAGGGCAAGAGAAAGAGGGGACGUCCAAGAAAUACCGUGACUCAGAAGUAGAAUUAAAAGCACAGGACAUGACCUGGCAUGACGCCGCAAAAGCAGCCCAGUAUCGUGUUCGUUGGAGGACUAAAGAAAGUAAAAUGUACAAUGAUUCACUAUUCUACCAGAUACACGUAGUGCAGAGGUAAACCAACGUUGAAUGCCCGUGUGUGGCCGGCUCCAUUUCCUUCUCAUCCCAUUUCAAGCAAAAAUACAAUAUUUAACAUGCCCUAAUAAUUUUCAUUGGCAAUUUGUAAUUACGAAGGAUGAAUUUUAGAUUACAAAUUAUUAACUUGAAAUACCAACUCUCUUCGUAUUUGAAAUUAAAAAUCAAAUCAGGUUUUUUUUUAAAUUACGUAAAAAAAAAACCAAUUGGAAAUCUGUAUAGUUGUGCACAAUCGAACAACUAAAGAAUAUUGAGGAAUUAUAUAGAAAAUUUGAAAUGCCAACACAAUAUGACAAUUCUGUCGCCACAGGCAAUACGCGUCCUGCGUCUGCGCAAUACAUAAUUCAUCCCAAAACAGCAUCAGACACUGAGAAUGAAAAACAAGGCUUGUCUUCAUUUCCACUACAGGCUGUUGUACAAUAGUUUCAUUUCAAAUCCCUACAACGCUUUCUCAUAACUAAAUAUUCAACUUACGUAUCAGACGAACAGAUUGAGAAGUAUAAUAUACGAGAUAAAAGUAUCUCUGAUCGAUAGUCCAGGUAUCCCGCUGCGCUCGCCUAAAGGUAACACCGUCAACACAUUGGCGAACGCUGAAAGUUCUAAACAUUAGGACAUGCAGAGAAAAUUUGAGUCUAACACAUACGUCCAAUGCAUUUUUGGGGUAAAAAAAACUUCCAAAAUCGUAGUGACCGUAGUCUCGAGCAUCCAUAAGUUAGUGUAUACACCCUACAAACGUCUGGAUGCUUUCUAAAAUAAAAUAAAAAAUCCCCGGUUGAUUAAAUAAAGUUGAUUCAGUAAACAAAAAAUUAAGGACGUUAGUGGAAAAAAAAUGUGUUUACAAUAGUGCAUGAUAAAAAUUGUGAAUUCCUUGUAUGAACUAAAAUAACGAUGCUUAAUCGGGAUUAAUUGAAAAUAUUGUACCUUAAACCAGGGUCAUCACAUUCAUCUUGCAUGAUAAUCACACAAGGAAGAGUUUGCAGAAAUGAGUUAGGAAAAAUGUCUAUUAUUUUUUGGUCGACAUUUAGCUGGGUCCUGUCAUUAUACGACUAAACAAAAUGUGUGAGCAUUGCAACAAGCUAUUGUAUAGAAUGUGCAGGAUUAGAUAUCAUUUCUAAGUUGAAUUGCUUAUUCCAAUUCAUAAACUUAAGUCCAUAAUGGUUCCAAGUGACUGAAAAUUGUAAAACCGUCUGCACUUUCACUUACCACAGCUAUUUUGACCGGUGUAACUAUAUGCAAAAAAAAAGGUGGAUUAAAGGGACUGGUUCACGAUUUUUGAAAAAAAAAAUAUUUUCUAUUCUGAAUGUUAAACAUUAAAAAUUGAUGUUGACAGCCAAAAUUUUGACUUUCUGAAUGCAAGAAUAAAAGCAACAUUUUGAUAAACUUAAUCAAUAUCAAUUUCUUUUUAAAAUUUCGUAAACAAUAACAUAGGGCAAUCUUUGUUUACAAAACAAAUAACAAACUCUCUAAAAUGAGCUUCUGUGAUAAUGUAUGGCCUUAAUUUUUAUGUGAAAUCUUUAGACAGUAGGUUUUGAUCAUUAAAAGUGAAAAACAAAAUUUUCGGGGAAAUCGUGAAUCGGUCCCUUUAAAGGACCCAUAACGAUUUAAAGACUCAAAUAUUAAUUCUUAUCAAUAUUAAUCCCUUAUAGUACAUAAUUAUGCUAUCAAUUAAGAAAUAAGAUAUCAUUUUUAAUGUUGUUGGGAUAUGACAUGAAUUUGGUCACGUGAUCAAAUCCUAUAACGCCCGAAGGGCGUUAUAGUAGAUUUGAUCACUUACAACUUCAUGUCAUAUCCCAAUAACAUUCAAAAAUGAUAUUUUCUUUCUUAUAAUAUUUAUAUUUUCUAUUUUUAUUUGUGUUCUUACCGAGCUUCCAUGAUUAUGUAGCAGAUGACCAAAAUAACGAUUGUAGAACACAAAAUAUAGUUCGUUAGUUUUAUCGAAUAAAAAAUUAGGAACAAUAUCAAAGAGAAUAUAAGAUAUAGAUAUUUAAUCGAAAGUGUUAAAAAAAAAAAAAAAAAAAAAAAAAGACGAAAUAUGUGUAAAAUAAAGGUAAUUUAGAGCGUAAAGUUAACUGAAAUGACGACAAGAAGAGCGGAAUAAACUACAUCUGUGAUGUGACUUAGUCGCGAUCAGCGAUGGAGAAACUGCAUGCGUCGGUCUAGCUAACUAAGUUGAAAACGCAAUUGUUGAACACAGAUUUCGACAGAAAUUCAAAUGAUCUGAGAGAAUUGAUGGUGAAUAUGAUAGGUCAAGUUAACGUUAAGUUCUUAGUCAGGUUUUUGGAAAGAAACAACGGCAUGUUCAUCUUUAGGACUCGCGGUUGUAGUCAUGCAGGAGACGAUUCGAGACAGUAGGAUAGAUUUAGACAAAGUGCAGGAUUUUAAUGAAGACUCGCACCGGCACCCUGACAUGAACAUAUAAAUUUUUCGAGCCUCGAAACCAGCCUCGCUUAUGAUCAUGCCGAGUCAUAGCCGUGAUGGAAGUUGUCAGGAAACAACAGGUUAACCUAUCAUCAUAAAGUAAUUAGGCUUACAUUUUUUCGCUUUCAAUAUCAUAGAAUUCGCCAUGCAGAAGUUGCAGACGGUAUUUAAAACUGUAUAAAAUGAAACAACAGAACGGUAUGUUUAAUGUUUCUCUUUUAUAAAUUGAUGAAAUUCUUGUUUGUUUUCAAAAUAAACUCUGUAUAAAUAUC
Long non-coding RNA from Ostrea edulis (European flat oyster), 3039 nucleotides. RefSeq lists it as uncharacterized. The transcript has 2 exons. The record is from RefSeq and is a predicted model, not a curated record. Lineage: Eukaryota; Metazoa; Mollusca; Bivalvia; Ostreida; Ostreidae.